ACCGCGAUAUCUCGAUGCGCUGGCCGGUGUAAGCGCUUGCUCGUCCGGCCCGAUGUAUCAGGAUCGUUCGGCGACAUCGUAAUUGUA
This 87-nucleotide small RNA is filed under the name Sinorhizobium meliloti 2011. RNAcentral's name for it is "putative ncRNA". The record is from RNAcentral. Lineage: Bacteria; Pseudomonadati; Pseudomonadota; Alphaproteobacteria; Hyphomicrobiales; Rhizobiaceae.